Non-coding RNA from Sus scrofa (pig), 18517 nucleotides. The record is from RefSeq and is a predicted model, not a curated record. NCBI's taxonomy places the organism in Eukaryota, Metazoa, Chordata, Mammalia, Artiodactyla, Suidae.
AUUGUGACAUAGAGGAAAGUCCUGCCUCUCCAUAACCCUGGCUAACGGCUCCGAUGGGGAGCUCCCGAAGGGAGACCUCCCUACUCCCCCAGCCCCGAGUGCAGCCCCAUCAAAGCGGCAGGGCUCUCGGCAUGGAGAUGGGGCCGCUAAUCCAGUUGCUCUGACCCAUUUUGGGCGAUAGGGUCUGGGGAGGCCCAGGAACGGGGCACGGGGAAGCCCGGAGGUCCCUCCAGCAGGUCGGGCGAGGACGCUAAAGGGCACCUGUUGCGGCGCGCGGUGCGGUGACUGCGGCGCACCUGAGCUAGGCCGGGCCCAGGGCGGCGGCGGGCGCACAGCUGAGCCGAGGUUCCAGGCCAGGCCCGCGCCUUGGGCUUCCGCCGGGUCAGCUGACCGCCCAGUACGGAACUAAAAGGCCGGCGCGAACUGCCUGCCUGCCUGCCGCUGCCGCCUCCGCGCUCCUGCUCCGCGCUCCGCCCUCGGUACCGCGAGUCCGCCCCGUCGCCAUGGCUGGGCUUGUGGUCAGUGGAACUCAAGUGUCCUACAUAGGCCAGGACUGCAGAGAGAUUCCAGAGCACCUCGGCAGGGACUAUGGACACUUUGCAAAGAGGCUCGACCUGAGCUUUAACCUUCUGAGGUCACUGGAAGGACUGAGCGCGUUCGGGAGCCUGGAGGAACUCAUCUUGGACAACAAUCUGCUGGGGAACGACCUCGUGUUGCCAGGGUUACCCAGUCUCCAUACCUUAACCCUCAACAAGAACCAGAUCACUGACUUGGAGUGUCUGCUUGAUCACCUGGCAGAAGUGACACCAGCUCUGGAGUACCUCAGCCUUCUGGGGAAUGUGGCAUGUCCCAAUGAGCUGGUCAACUUGGAGAAGGAUGAGGAGGACUACAAGAGAUACAGAUACUUUGUUCUGCACAAGCUGCCCAAUUUGAAGUUUCUGGAUGCUCGGAAAGUAACUAAACAAGAACGAGAGGAAGCUUUGGUCAGAGGGGCGUUCAUGAAGGUGGUGAAGCCCAAGGUGUGUAUAUACGCGCUCCAUCUCUGUGUAUCUAUACAUAUGUAUGUUCUGGGAGGUUUGUGUACAUUCGGAGUCAGCUCCUAAGUGGAGAGCAAUUUCCUCCCAGUGAAAUGCCGACGCUUUGCUGCGCACACUUGGUGAAGACCUAUUUUUCAUCACAGAAUCGGAAUCUCAAGUUGGCUUCUCUCCUUUCCGAGGCUGUGGAGGCCUGUUAUGCUUAUUCGGCAGAAUGCUCUGAUGGAUGAUCCAGAGGCCCGUGAUUUGGGGAGCUGUUUUCAUUUUAUUCCUGACAUAAAGUAUUUGGGAGAAUGGAAAAUGCCUCUCCAAUCACAGCCCUUGCCUGGGAGGUAGAGCCGGGGCAGUCUGGGUGUUCCUCACUGACGCAAAUGCAAAAUCAUCUAGCAACUUGUACCCCCCCCCCCCCCCCCGGCAUGUCACAAAGGCUUUAUUUGGUACCUGGCAGCCCCCGGUGCUCGAAGUGUGAGUUGGCUCUCGCUGCUGCUCAUGAUGACACAUUUCUCCUUCACUGCUGCCUUCUAGCUUUUGUUUAAAAGCUGCUUUCCAUCCGGGCUCUGAUUGUUCUGUAGAAAGGUACUGUCAUUCAUUAGGAAGUGAUAGCUAAUGUUACAAUGGACUCGUCUGGAUGCCGUGUGUGUGUAUUUGGUUAAUGGACCUACAACAGUUAGGCUUUGCUCAUUUCUAGAAAUUUUAAAGAAAAAAAAUGUAUUUGUCAAGUAUGAGCCAUCAGAUCAAGCCACUGUCAGUGCAGAGAGCCACAAGCUAGAUGCAUAGGUGGUGUAGCCCCCAAAGAAAGGCUUCUGUAAUGACCAGACUGUGACCUCCACCUCCUCGCUCCUGGAAAUGGAGAUCAAAGUGGUGCAGAGGCCUGUCCAGGAGGGUGUGUGUGGCCGGCCUGCCAGCCCUGCACAUCAGAGAGAUGGCGCGAGCAUCCGACAGUCAGAAUUGCUUAAUUAUGUCCUGGCUUUGUAAUUAUUCAUCCCUGUUCUGGCAAAGAGCACACUUGUCAUUUCUUUGACAUAAUUAUUUAAAGCUGAGCCCUCUUGUUUACAGACACAUAUAGGUAGUUGGCUACCAACUGUUUAAUCUUUGGAAUCUUAUAGAAGUGAUGGGGGGGUGGAGCAGCCAUCAGGCAGCUGGACUGAGAACUACAGCCUGUAUUAGGAAGUGUUCAGACAUGUGUGUUUUUGCUUGUAAUCAUGGCCAUUCUCUUAUCGGUAAGAUAGGGUCAUAGGUUUGUUUGUGAGUGUUGAUGUGUCCUUAAAAAUACGUCUUCCGUGUCUUUACGUGGGCAUGCCUAGGUUUCUGGUAAUGUGUAUCUUGUGUAUUUGUGUCAUUUUGCAUAGUUAUGAAUAUUUGUAUAUGUGUGUGUCUCUGAGUACUUGGGGAGGCUAUAGUGUAUGGUAUGUAUGUACGUGUAUGUGUGAGUGAGAGACGGAGAAAGGGAGGGAGGAAGAAGGGAAAGUGAUGUGUUAAAGAAUAAAUUUACACCUUCCAGAAAUCUUUUUUAUUCUUGUCCUUAAACUCAAAGUUAAAAGCUAUCUGGGUAUGAGGACCAUGUGCUUCCCUGAUUAUACUAUACCAUUGUUCUCUUGAGAGUUGGGCCCAAACUUUCCUGAGUACCUUCAGUUUCUUCCCUCUGUGUCUAUGUUUUGGUUUUAAAAAGACAGCAACCUAGGAUAAAGACAGGAAGUGGAAGCAUCUGGAACCCCACUCUUUGGUCGGAACAAAACAGCUGCUCACCCUGAGGGUGUCAGCUCCAUGAGGGCAAGACCUUGGUUUUGUUUUUUCCUGUAUCUCUAGGGCCUGGUCUCACACAAAGGUUCAGCCAACACUUGUUAAAACAGUGCCCUGUGAACGGACCAUAUUGGAAGGUCCAUCAUGAAAGAGAGUCCAUUUUUCAAUUGCCUCGAUAUGGUGCUCUGCAAAAGCAGGAAAGGGACUUUUACCUUAAGGAAAUGGAGUAACUUGGAUCUGUGUUUUGGCAGAAAAGAGAGAUUCUGGGCUGCCUCUUUGUUUUUUCCAAAGGCCUUACCCUGGGAUUACUUAUGAUGGCACAGCCCACAGCUGCCAUGCUCCACAGCCACCAUGGCUUCUCCAGGGGCAGCAUCCAUUGCUGGGGGUGGGGGGGUGGGAAGAUGGGGGCAGGGGUACAAUCUGAGCUUGUGGCCCCUGUCACUGCCCACAUGUUUUCCAAGUCCUUUUCUUGGGACCCACCUGCUUAGGGCUUUGAGGAACUAGAAGGUAGCUUUUCUCAGAAAAUAUGUUGGGGCACUCCAGAAGUCUAUGUGUAGUUAAAAUGAGAUUUUCCCUGUCUUAGUUGCUAUUGUACCUUUUGUCUGUACAAUAAAGGAGUACUGCCUCCUGGUUUGUUUGGUUCUUUUUUUUUUUUUUACUGCCUAGCCUAGUUCUUUGCUAAACACUGUCUUGUUCUAAAGCACAGUGUGUAUGUCUUUCAUAUCUUUUCUUACCCUUAUGUAGCCAAUUGCAAAUGUGUAAAAGUUUAUCCAAAACUACCUCUAGGUUGGUUGCGAUUACUAACAUUUCCUCUAUCCUCAAUAUUUUUAAGAAUAUAUAUUUUACAUAAAACUAGGGCAUGCCUGUAAAUAAAUAUUGUAAACCGCGUGAACAUACAGUUAAAUACACAAUAAGCCAGUAUACCUUGAAAGCUCUCUACUGUGCCAAGCAUUCAGAAAAAAACUAAAAAUGUCAGUUAACUUUCUGGAUAUUCCUAACUACCUGAAUAUGUUAAUGUUUUAUGGUUCUUUUCUGUUUUCACACAGAUGUUUCUUGUCUAGAGACAUAUUUAGGUUCUAUUUUCAGUUACUUUAUCGUAAAUUUUGAAGGGAGGAAAUUUCUUUUUAAUUAAUUUCUUUUUUGGAAGAUGCUUUAGUGUUGUGCUGAGAAACAACUUCACCAGCCAAAAAAAUUGCAGUUUGUUUGUUUUUCAUUUUUCUUUCUGAUUUCACAGUUUUCCUCAUUCAUUUGAUGGAGGAAUCACUUAAAGAUUUUGUGUUUUUUUUUUUUUUUUUUCAUCGUUAGCACCAUGGCAUUCUAGAUCUCAAAUACAUGCUUUCAGAGUAUUGCUUUUUUGGAGACAAUUUUGGUAGCUUUUCUUGACCAUGGCUUUGGAUAGCAACUUUCUGAAGUCAGAGAUAGACUCUUGUAGGGAAGUUGUGUCUAUACUACCCUAGAAAAAUCCUAGAGGUAGAAAACUGAAGUCCACAGGAGAAGGAAAGUGAAAUAGAACUGUAGGUGAUGGUAGUGGCCUCUUGGAGCCACUUCUGGAGGUCCUGGGGACCUGGCCAGGUGCUGAGCACAUAGUAGGUGUCACUGUCCAUUAAGCCCAAUGCCUCGGUUGGAGUCACUGGCUUGUACAGCACCGCCAUGGCCCAGCUCCAUAUUCUUCCUCUUUGUGGCCUCCAACAUGCUGGCUUUUGUCCAAAGAUACUUGGAGAGACAUAUGUUAGAGGAUCAUGAAAAUAAGUGGCACUUUGGGGGGAUUGCGAUAAGUAUCCCUCGGAGACUGGAUAGAGUCUGCAACCUAUCUGCUGGGAAAGUGUGGUAGAUUUCAUUUUUGGUCUAAAAUUGUUCCUUUCCCUCUGUCCUUGCCAUGGCUCCCUCCUCUCAGGGAGGAGUAUACAACUCCAUCCCAUUGACAUUGGCCUUGGCUAUGUUGACCCUCGAGUCAAGGGGAUGUGCGUGCAAGUGAUAGCACGCCAGCUCUAGGCCCAGGCCUCGUGAGGUACCACCAUGUGUUGCCACUCACCCUCUUGCACACAUGCUAUUUGCUAUGGAAACAAUGUGAGAUAGGCAUUGAGCAGAACUGAACUGGCCUGAAGCCUGAAGCAGAAAUAUUCCAGCCAACCACAGAGCUCUGUACAAGAAAGACAUCCUUAUCACAAGCCACCAGGGCUUUGGAGAGUAGUGUGACUGCAGAAGCCUGAUACAUAGGCCAUCUGUGCUCACAUUCUGUCCUCCGGUUCUUCCUUGGCCACUUACACCAGGGCUCUUAAUGGAGACAUGACUUGGGGUUUAGUGAAGUGAAUGACAGUUUUUGGUAUCACAGCAGCAACACUGGUAGGUUUUCUGGUUGCUUAACUAGUUAGGAUCGCAAGGCCAGCCUCAGGUCGACUGGCUGCCUAGGGUUUAUUAUUCAUUGUAAUGAAACUUUCCUGAUAAUGUGAGUCAGAACAAUACCUAGUAUAUAUUAAGUGUACACUGUGUAUUAGCUAUUGUACUAGCAACUUAACAACACUGUCUCUAAAUUUCUCCUUCAACUUGAAUCUGCAGUUGAUGAUCGCAGAACUUACGUACAUCACUUAAAAUGACAGGGCAACGUGGAUUCAGGUUCUUCCUCAGGCCUGCUUACACCCCUGAGCUCACACCCACCCCCUUCCCCAAAGACUUAAUUUCAUCAAUUAGACAUGGAGAUACGAUGAGAGGCAGGAGUGAAAGAGUGGGGAGAUGAGGACAUGGAACAGAGCCAGGGCUAACUUCGUAAUUUUCACUUUGGACCUUGUGACCACUUCCUCCAGUGCAUCGUGGUGAUGUGCAUGGGCUCAGCAGAGAAUAGUGGGAGCCAGGUGGUAGAGGGCUCAGUUUGUUAGGCCACGUUUGCAACCUCAUUUGAGCAUGAGGAGGCACCUGGGCUGGGCCUGAAGUAGGAGGAAAGUGUGGGCAGGUCCGUGUUUGGAUCCCCGGGUGUCUGGAUGGGAGCGGUAGUGCUCUGGGCACAACGGGUGUUGGAGAUCUGUGAAGAGGCAGCUGCUGGACUGAGGCUGCCUAGCAUCCAGUGCACCCCGGCCACUGUUGGUGCUCAGGUGGCCACAGAGGUUAAAGAUCUGGGCUUGAGAGUCCUGUCCUAACUACAGGGUGAAGUCUGGGUGGUAUGGAGCAGCUCGGAGGCUGGCGGGAGGAGAAAGCCAGUGGGUGUCAGAGACCAGCCAGUAACUCCACUGGCAGUGGGUCUUUGGCAUUCUAAGAAGUCCUUUGACAGUUUCUUACCCAAGAGAUCCUGUCCCCUAUGCUAUCAGUUGCCUUAGUUUUGAGGAGUGAAUUUAAGCCUACUUAACUGAGCACUAAGAAAUCCUCAUUCGUGUGAUCCCUGCUAAUGACUGAGAUGGAGCCUUAAUAGCCGAUUAUGUCUGUAAUCUCUAUGUUUCUAGCUCGACAUUGCCUCGAUCCACAGUAGAGGAUGGUUUUUCGCAUUUUGCUCUUGCAAUUUAGUUUUGUUUUUGUUUUUUUUUUUCAAUUGAGUUUGGUGAGGAGACAUAAAUAAAGAUGUUUCCUUAAAAGUGUGUUCUCAGAGAAUGCAGUUGGGGUGCUGAUCUCAAGUGACCUAUGUUUAGAUCUCACAUCAGCCUGUGUCUGUGUGCAGCUCAGGGCUUGGCAGGGAGCUUCCCUCCUGGGCAUGUGUAUUGUAUUGCAUAUGUAUGGGUCGGCUGGGCCAGCAUCUUAUCCUUUAGAGGCUUUACUCCAUUUGACGCCUCCCCCGACACCCCCCCCCACACACACACCCUUUGCUUUGAGCUUUCUGAUUCCAGGUCAGUGAUGAGGAGGAGUGGGCUGGAAGUCCAGGGCCAACUUAUCUGGAAUGGAAGAAAAAGGCCAGGAAAAAGCAUUCUGACAGUCUCAGUGCAGCCAGCCGAGGGCCUUGCUCUCCACCCUUCUGACCUCUAGGGCUUCACGAAUCUCUGCCUUGCUGAGAAAGUCCCUUCUGGGCCCAUCGCAACAUUAGAUGGUGGGGACUAAACCCUCGGGCACGUAGCCCUAGAAGGCAGGGAGGCCUGCCAGAUGGAUGGCUCACCAGGGAAGAGUCAUAAACAUUGCUCUGAAGCUAACUUGGAUUACAUGUUAAUAUUACCUGCAAGACCGUGGCCAACAGGGGAGGAGAAAACUAAGAUGGCAGCAUGGUCCCAAUUUCUCCUCGUGGGUUCUGGUUAUUUCUGAAUUGCAUGCAACUAAUGGCAGAUAUCCUCGUCUGCUAGAGUUGCCGUAACAAAAUACCACAGACUGCAUGGUUUCAACAAGAGAAAUUCCUUUUCUCAUAGUCCUGGAGGCUCUAAUUUAAAGCUGAAGGAGUUGGUGGGACUGGUUUCUUGAGCCCCUUCCCUUGGCUUGGAGGGGGCUGCCUUCUUGCUGUGUCUUCACAUGGCUCUCUUCUUGGGCAUGUACAUCCUUAUUCUUCGUGUGUCCUCUCAUAAAGACACGUCAUACUGGAUAGGAGCUCACACAAUGGCCUCAUUUUAUCUCAGUUACCACUUUAAGGGCCCAGUCUCCAAACAUAGUCACGUUCUGAUCUACUGGAGGUUAGACUUCAACAUAGACCUUUGGGGAGGAUGCAAUUCAGUCCCUAACACCAGACGAGAAGAGUGAACUUUAAGAAGAGAAUAGGAAAGGAAACUCAUGAAAGUUUAGUGAUGAAAGGCAUGUCUCUGACAUUUAACAUUUACCUGUUCUUUCCAUUGUCCCUCUAAGACUUAGAAGCAAAGUCAGCAAAUAGAACAAAGGGGUAGGAUAACCGUAGGUUAUCCAACUUGGAUGGAGGUAAAAGUCUUCACAGAGUUGAACUGAAAUAGAAAUUUCAUCUGUUUUCCUGGGUGUGGCUGAUAUAUACACUUUAGGUUCUCAGCCAGGUGAGUGCUGAGUGGUUUGCACAGGUAAUAACCAGUAUUAGUGGAGAGCUCCAGGAAUGGCACCUACCCCACACAGUAGACUCAGUGAGAAACCUGAUGCUCAGAGGAGAGCUUCUUCUCAUGUGAAAAAAAUUACCUCUGGGGGUGCCUUUUGCCCCAAAUGUUUCCUUGUGGAGUAAAAAGAAGGGGUUUCUCAUCAUGAGGGAGAAGUCUUGACAUGUGUCCACUGUUCCCUGUCUGUUUCUCCAGAACUCAUUUCUCACUGUCAAGACCUCCAGGAGCAUCCAGUUCCCAGGUAGCUGUUGGAUCCUGCUUGUGAACUGGUUCCAAGUCUCUCAGACAUGUGUUUUUGUCUCUUCGUUGUUUGUCUACCUGUGGCCACUAUGGCUGGCUUCCAGCCCAUGCCCACACUCUGUAGAUCCAUCAUCACUGUCCCUCUGACCAGGCACUGUGAUAUUUCACAAGCACGGUGGGGCAGGUCUGCCCUUGGGGUCCUUGAAGGCUGGUGGUACAAUUAGCUCUUUUAUUUGCUUUUUUACUCCUUACAGCAGAAUGUCUUAGAUGAACAGACAGGGCAACAUCAAUAAUGCACAGAUGCUCUGUAAUUGGGGCUUCCUUUGAUGUUAAUUUAGCGAAGUUCAGUGCUAUUGUCAGUGAUAGCAAUUACGCACAGCCUUUUCACCAAGGACAUUUUAGGAUAAUUUUAUUUUUCAUGUGCAUUUUAAAAUAUCGCAAUAAAUUUUCAACUACAUUACCUGAAUUAUAACUCAUUAUUUCUUUUUACAGAAAACUCAUGCUCUCUGUCUAGGCUCCAGAGCUGUAUCUUUUCUUUUUUGAAGUGGGGAAUUUUGAAGUGGGGCUUCUACCUCAUGGGCUUUUAACUCACGAGCGAAACUUAGACACGAGUCCCUCGUUUUUUUGCUGACUUUCUGGAUUGUCGCAGGGGCUAUCUGGCACCGUGACCUCCCCCAUGUUUUAUUUGGCCCAUUUUUAUUCCUUUCUCUCCCCCCCCCAACCCAACUUUCAUUUUUGUUCUUGACAUAAUUCAAGAAGUUACCUCUGGCUGUUCUUUUGGGAAAGUUUAAAAUCUGAAUUUAUUGUGGCUUUUGUAUUCCACGGCAAACCUAUGACUCUUAAUUUGCUCACGGGCUGUCGUCAGAUUUGCUCUUCCCCUUGGAGGCCAGUCUUAUUCUGUUUCAUGAUGAUGGUUACUACCUUCUGCUGUCUGUUUCUCCAUUGUUAAUAGCGGGACCGAAACAUGUUUGAUGCGGGAAUUCAGUGAGAUGAUGUGUGUAAGAAGCGAACCCUGUCUCUCUGGUGCGUAGCUGGUGUUCUCAACGUGUGUCGUUUUAGAACAGCUGUGUUGUUGUGGCAUUGCUUUUUCUUCUGCCUGUGUGGAUGAACAUGAGGAAGGUAAUGUCAGCUUGAGUAGAGGGGCUUAUUGGUUGCCUGGGGGCUGCCAUAAUAACCUAUCAUAAACUGGGGAGCUUGAACAACAGAACUUUAUUUUCUCACAGUUCUGGAAACUGGAAGGUCAAGAUCAGGGUGCCACAUGGUCAGGUUCUGGGUGAGAGCCCUCUUCCCAGCUUGCGCAUGGUCACCUCUCAUUGUGUCCUCAUGUGUCGGGGGAAGGCAGAGGAGGGGAGAGGGGGCAGAAGUGGGAGGGAGGUGAAGAGAGGGAGAGAGGAACAGAGAGAACAUAAGCAUGUGUGAGCAACAUUGACUGAUUGGUUGAUAGAUCUUCUUUUUAUAAGGCUAUGGUGCUGUUGGAUGGGGGACCCAUCCUUCUGUCCUCAUUUAACCUAGUUACCUCCUAAAGACCCUAUCUCCAGAUAUAGUCACAUUUGGUAUGAGAGCUUUAUAUGAAUACAUAAACCUAUGAGUUUGGGGGCACAUAAUUCAGUUCCUAGAUGGGUGUAUUCUCCCUAUAUUUCUGGUGACUUAACUGAGUUUUCUGGGAUUUAUACUUAAAUGUUUCUAAGGUUGUACUAAACACCUACUUCCUGAUGAGAGUAAAAUACCUGAAUGAAAGAAAUGUGGGAGGAAAAGAGAUCCUCCUGUUCAUUCUGGGGAGGCUGGGCCCCUAAGUUUGGGGGUCUCCCUAGGCACUACACAGGUCUUUUUGUUCUUAUGGUGAUGGUGAAGGGAGGGAUCUGGGGCAAAGAGGAGGCACAAGAACAGUCAGUGGAGGAUGGAAGACAGAGGGAGUCCUAGGGUUGCAGAUGCAAAUAGGAGCCAAGAGUCAGUGGUGCAGCCUCCCCAAGUGGGCAGCAGUGGGGCAGGGGUGUCUUCCUAUAGGGCCCAAAUCGAGCAAAGGAUGCCUGGUACAAAACUAAGCCUUUAAGUCCUUUCCUUUUGGUGACCUUGGACUCAACUCCUUUGAUCCUCCUCCAACUCCCUUGCUGAAUCUGGAAGUCAAGGCCUUUGUCGAGAUCCUGGAAUUUGUCAUUGGAGUUAGUCCCCUUUGGCCCCAUAGUAAAAUGGAGAAAAUUAGGGAGUGAAAUCUGGGGGCUUGUUACACAUGUCCAAAGAAUAUUAUCUCAUCAUUGAGGGGCUUUGAAAAUCCAAGGUUGAGGUAUUAGAUCUCUGAAUAAUUAGAAAAUAACCAAGAGCUGUAUGACACCAAGCCACAGCUUCCCCCUCACUCCCCCCCAAAUCUGUUUCAGUUCAGUAUAAUUUUUUUUUUUAAAGACUUCUGUACUCAUUCUAAUUUUUAGUCAUCGGAUGUUUUGGAAAAGAUUAAAUUACAAAUUAUUUUUUCUUCUUUGUGUUCAGAAAAGACUCAAUCCCAAUUUGUGACUUGUGCACUUUGAGAUUACAGAGGCCUAACUGAAGCCCAUGAAUCACAUUUGCUUAGGUGAAAAUGAGUAGAAUAAGUGAAACAGAGGAAGGAAUGAAAAGCUGCGCCUUCUUUGCUUCCCCUCCCCUCCUCUUUUCCACAUUAGAUGACUAAAUGUGCAACUUUGUUCACAUAACUGCUACAAACAGUUCACUGUGUAGGCCAAACGCUCUCUAAUGCAGUAAAAUUAAGAAAUAAUAUGCUUUGAAAGUGAUUUAUGAGUGUGGUUAAACUGCCAGAUUUACAAAGAAAUAGUUCAGAUCUUGGGAAGCCUCAGGAGUCACGUCAAAAAUGAAUUUGACCAUGAUUUAAACUGCUACUUUUCUUACAUGACAUUUAAUAUGUGUACUUUGGAGGCCCAUAUGUCUUUAAUAAAAUAGCAUUAAGUUUUAAAUAUGAUAUGAAUGCAGCCAGUUUCUAAAUUCAUAACCUUUUCCACAACUCCAAAAUGCUAACCAAUAAGGGAGUCAUACAUGCAAUAAAACCUAAACCUUAGAAAAUAGCUUUUUAUUAAAAUGGUUAGACAGUUGGCAGCUGGGUUUGCAAUGUAAUAAAUACUUACAGCAUUGUGGGUUUAUCAGACGUUGUUUACCCUCUAAGCAACUGGGACCAGACAACUAAUUACAACCCUUGCGCAAAAGCAGUUCAGGCAGAGUCCCCCUGAAUGUGUCAAAGAGGCGGAAGAGUUUUGUUGAGAGUGCUGGUUCGAUCCUCAGAGAGCUGGGUUCAGAUCUCUCUCCACCACUUAAAGGGAUGUGACUUUGGCCAGGCUGCUCUGUUUGAAUAAUUUUCGAAGUCUGUGUCAUAGAGACAGUAUCACCUGCCAUGCAGGUUUGUCAUGAUGAUGAGAAGCAAAUGAGCCAAGCCAUCUGACCCGGGGCCUGGCACAUAGUAGGUCCUCAGUAAAACAAGCAAUUCUUUUGAAAACAUUCUUUAACAAAAAAGUAGUUUAGGAGUUCCCUGGUGGCACAACAGCUUAAGGAUCCAGCAUUAUCACUGCAAUGUCUUAGGUCUGAUCCCUGGCCCUAGAACUUCUGGCUGCCAUGGGCACAAGAAAAAAAAAAUUAGGCCAGAUCAUCUGGACCCUGUAGCAGUGAUGUUCUGUUACAACUCUAGGAGGGCACUUAGAAAAGGUACACCGCUUAGCCAGGGCUCAGCGUGAGCCUCACAGAGAAUGAAUAGGCAGCUCCUUGCCUCACCACCCUGGGAAAAGUAAGAGCACGUCAGAACCAACAGGAAGACGUAUCUGGGUUGCGGGAGCAGGAGCUAUGUUAAUGCCACUGUCGCUUAGCUGUUCCUGGAAAUGAGGAGUGCAGGGCAGCCUCUUCCUGCCUUCUAGGCUUCCAGUUCAUAGAAAAUGAGAGUUCCUCUUGUAAGCUGUAUUACAUCACAGCAAAAGGUCUUCCAGUGCUGUUGCUGCUUUGGCGGUGUGUGUGUGAGAACAGAUCUCUCUGUGGCAUAGUUGGGAAGUACAGCUUCCCCUUCUCCAUGUUUCCAGUUGCUUAUAUACAACUUUUCUGUCUCUCAGAGGAAAUAGCCAGUCUGGCAGUGGUUUGAUCGUGUUUGUCCAUACAACUCAACGGUCUACCCUCCACAAACUUCCUAAGGAAUUUAGGAUUUCUGAAUUUCCUAAAAAGUGAAUUGUAGGUUAUGUUUGAGUUUGGCCUUUGGAUCUCAGAACUCACACUUAGGUGUGGUAAUGGGAGAUUAAAAGGCCCUGGGACUAUUUUAUUUUGAUAUUUUUUUGAAAAAUAAUGUUAUACUCCCAUUAAGGGGAAUUAACAAAGAACAUCUUUCAGCUGUAUUCUCAACAUGCUAACUCUUUGUCUUUUCAUUUUGCUCUUUUCCCUUCCAAACCUAAUCCUGUUCUAUAGGUAUUUUAUGUGUUUUAUGCUCUAUUUUUUUACCUAACAUUUUUGUUGCGCUACUUUGUUGUCUUCAAAUUUAUUAUUUUUGUGGAAUCUAUAGUUCUUCAUCAAAUUGAUAUAAGCACCAUCAGUUACCAAACCAUUUUCCCACUUUUGCUAGAUUUUAACCUUAUAUAUAAAAUACUGCUAGUUUUGUGUGUGUGUGUGUGUGUGAAUGUGUACUUCGUUUAAAUUAUCCUUAGGGCAGUUUUACAGGGAUGGUUUUAUUGGAUCACAGGCUAUGGUCAGAAGAACAGUUUCAGGCGCUAUAUAAGAAUGCCUAGGUACCAUUUUCAAGUUGGCAGGCAGUCCAUCCCAAAUGAGUCGUCGUACGUACAAGGCUGGAGGCAGAAUGUAGGUCAAAAAGGACACUUAACCUUUCCAAGACUGUCUUUGGGAAUGGACUUCCUGAAGUCUUACUGGUUCAUGUAUUGGAAUCUGUAGGAGCUCCCACAAAGCAUGCGUUGACCUGCUAAGUUGAAGUCCCAGGGAAUUACGGGUUCCCUAGAGCAUCCUGAAAAUUAUUAACAGCAUGCACUCCCGAACAGUGUGAAUGUGCCUUUACACUGUUAGCCAAAUCUUUGCAUAAUACCAAUCAUUCCACCUAUAAAAGCACAAAUAUGUUAUUGUUCUCGAUAGGCAAUUUAAUACAGCUUUGGGGAGGCAAAAAGAGAAAAGAAGAUUACAAGCUGGCUGAUCUUGCUUUUAUUUCUCUUAAAUCUAUCCACACUUCUCAGGGGUUGUACUUGUUUAAAGAUUGUCUGCAACUGUGCAGCCUGUGUGAUUUGGAAAGCAAAUCAAACUAAAUAUGAAGUUUUCAGCAUGUGUUGUUUUUAAACGAUUUCAUACAUUUAUUUCAAAUAUACAUUUCUUCCCAAGUAGUGCUAAACCUAUAAUCAUUUUCUUGUUAUAUUUCUUUUUGGGGGGAUGGAGGCCAAGAGGGUGACUUAGUUUUGGAGUGGAAGGUUCCUAUUAACAUCUACCUCCUUCUUGUGCGGCAUUAUUCACAGCAGUGCUAUUAAGGCUAAUUAUUUUCAGGUUUCUAUCAAAGGGGAAUAUUUGAGCUGACAAAAAAAAAGAAGCAUUUAUUGGGAAGAAAAAUGGCCUGUUUAAAUAAGAAAGGGAUCAUUAUCCCGUGCACCCUACCUCCCCCUCCCAGCUAUUAGCCUAUGUAGGGAGGAGGGGCCGGGAGACCCUCUGGGAGUCUGUGAGAGGAGGUUCUAGGGGCUGCUUGCUCAGAGAUGCUUGGUUCCCCAAGAAGAGGCAGUGCUUUCCCCCUCAUUUUUUUUUUUUUUUUGGCAGCCCAUCUGGGUUGCUCAUUGACCUUGGCCCUGAUGUCAGUGUUAUUUUCCUUCUCAUCUUGGGUAUGUAAAAUUCACUGACCCUUGGUAUGUAAUGGAAAGAAUAUUGGCUGGGGAGCUGGGUGGAUUAGUCAGGAAAGACCAACUACUGUAACAAAUAGACACCAUGUCUUGUGACUUCAUCAUUUUCAGUCCACUGAAGGUUUCUGGGUGGACAGUGAGGAGCACCUUGUCCAUCAGGGACCUUGGUUCCUUCUGUCCAAUGGCCCUGUGGUUUUCUUGGGGCUUGGAGAGAGACUAAUUUUGGAAGCAUUUUCACACACAAUCUCAUUUGAGCCUCACAGUGCUGAUGAGAGUGAUGAACUCUAGGCCACACUUUGUUUGACAAAUAUGGGAUAGUAAGAGAAAGAGUUUGUGAGUUCCCAUCAUGGCUCAGUGGUUAACGAAUCUGACUAGGAACCAUGGGGUUGUGGGUUAGAUCCCUGGCAUCACUCAGUGGGUUAAGGAUCCAGCAUUGCCAUGAGCUGUGGCACAGGUCGUAGAUGUGGCUCGGAUACCGCGUUGCUGUGACAGUGGUGUAUGCCGGCAGCAACAGCUCCGAUUGGACCCCUAGCCUGGGAACGUCCACAUGCCACAGGUGAGGUCCUAAAAAGACAAAAAGACCAAAAAAAAAAAAAAAGAAUGAAAGAGCUUGUGGGAUUCCCUGAGUAUUCCAGAGAGAAAUGAAGGUCAGAUUAGAACUCAAACCUCCUCUUGGCCCAGUACUUUGCAAUUGUAUAAUAUACAGGCUGUUUUGAGAAUUUCUGGACUUAAGAGGACAGGGUCCAGGCAAGGAGAGCCUGAGUAACCAGGACACCCUGUCUCCUCAGUGGGCACAAAAUGGCAAUGGCAGAUCUUCCAAAGGGGGGCACCAUGGAACUCAGGCCAGUCCACACCUCCCCAAGGGGGUCUAUCAUUUUUCCAAGGGCCAGUCAGAGCAGCUUUCUGAUGUGUUGUCCAAAAAAAGUGUCUAUGCUCAAGAAUAGAGUGGUUGGGUUGGCUUCCACGUGGUCCCAGAUCUGCCUAAUCAGGACUAUAUUGACUUAGUUUAGGACCACAUUUUCCUCUUUUUUGGGGGGGAGGGGGGACUCCACCUCCUCUCCACCUCCUCCACAUUUGUGGGAGGCAGGGACGUGAUCUUGCCGUCACAUUUGCUCUUGUAUGUUCAGCCUACAAUAGCUCCCAACUCCAAACCACCAGCGUUUGCUUUUGUAAACUGCAGAAGAAGGGCCUAGGGUGACAUUCCUGCCCAAAUCAUAGGCUGAGCAAGAAGCAGCAAGGCCAGAGAGGCAGAGUGGGGUUGAGAUGAGCUUGUCCCGGUUCCACCUACAAUGCUUCAGCUUUAAAGCCAGGCUACUCUGCUUGUACCUAGAACUUGCAAUGACUAGAGGCUGUUUUAAGAGAAAAAUUAUACUUCUCUUUUAUUCAAAACAAACUCUCUAGCAGGGUGAAAUUUUGAGAUGUACCACAGGCAGCUGGAGAGCUUCAAGUCCUAGGAAAAUGACAGUGUAUUCACGCUUUCUGUUCUUUUUCUCCUGUAGGGCAGGUCAUAUGUCUUUGUCAUGGCUAAUGGCAAUUUAUGCUAUCCAUGACCACUGGGAAGGGAAAAUAUUCAUAUUUUAAAAAUGCACAAAGACAGAGCUCUCCUGAUUGGGGACAUGGUCAGGCUAGAAGGGAGGGAGUUGAGUUUCCAAGGUCAUGGUUUCUCAGUCUUUACUAAGAGGUCACCAUUUAUUUAUGAUCUUAUUGUUUGAGUUUCAAGAUUAUGAAGAAUUCUUCUGGUGUCUUUUGAAAAAGAGAGUUUGGAGAGAUGACGGCCAAAGAAGCUGAUGGAGAUCCUGGACUUUUAUGAAAAUAGGGUACUUUUUAGUUUUGCCAAGCAGGGUUGGCAUCCUCACCCAGAGGUUUAGAUAGAAAAAGAUGGGCAGAAUUUUCAGGCCAGGUAUGAAAAUUAAAUCUCCCAAACCUAAGAUUGGUAUUAUCAAGCUAUAAAAGAAGAUGUUUUAGGUUGUUUCUCAGGACAUAAACUCUGGUAUUCUUGGCCCAGGUGUAUAGAACUUACACUCUCACCUCUACCUCCACUCUAAUAAUGGGAGUGGAGCACCAGGAACUCCCAUCUCUUGGGAAUCUUUUAGGGGCUGCUCAUUCAUUGGAAGUAGGAGAACCAGCAGUAAGUGAUGGAGACAUUUGUUAAGGAUGUGAGAGAGUUAAUACUUAGGAGUCUCUCCCUUUCUUCUCCUUACGUCAAACAGCCAAAAAGGGACCUUAGGUUCAGCUUGUUGGAGGAAUUUCUUUGUCACCUAUUUCUCAGAGUUGGUACCCAUUUGCCUAUAUGACUCAGUUUUUCAGUUAUUUCUCUAUCCAUGCCUCCAUCCAUGCAUUCAUUGUCCACCCAUCCAUCCACCCACUCACCCAUCCAUGUAUGCACGCACCCAUCCCAUCCAUCCAUCCCUCCCUGCCUCCCUCUCUCUCACAUUUACUAAGUGUAUUAGGCUCCUUGAUAUAAUAAAAUCAAUUGAAACAGAGUCUGAGCCUUCUAGGGAAGGUAGACUUGAGCUUUUCUUUUAUUUUGCUGCAUUGAUCUCUUCUACCUUCUACACAUUUUUCCCCCUCUGGAUGACUGAUGAAGUAUAUGGAUGCUAUAGAUUGAAUGAUUUAAAUAACUUGAACUAUACCUUAUGCUCUUAUUUCCUCUUUGUUAAUCACAUUCUUACUAUUAGAGUCAGAGGAAAAGAAUUUUUCAAAGGGAGUUUUAGAUUUUUUUUUUUUUUUUGAGAUUUGGCUCUGGGAGGAAGAGUCAGAGAGAGAUCGAGUUGUGAUUAUGUGCAUUUCUGUGUAAAUGGGGAUGAUGCCUGUCCCUGCCUCUCCCUGGGCUGCCCAUGUGGAUUCUGCAGGGGAAGAACACAGCCCAGAUCUCUUCAGGUGUACAGGGUUCUUGUGUGAGGAGCCAUACAUGGCUUUCAACAGUAAAGUCUCCAAUGAAUUAGGGUGGUUUGGAAAAGUGAUGGGGCUUCAAUUAGAUGGACACCAUAGGGAAUAAUAUUCAAUAGGAGAAAAAGUCUUGAUGUCAAAAUAUGUAAAUCAAAGGGAAGGGCAUGAGAACUAUGGGAAGGAAAUAAGAAAACAAGCAAAGGAAAUUAGAAUAUUUUCUCCCAGAGAUUAUUGUACACAGAGAUCAGGCUGCAUCUCAAAUCUAGAAUCAUCUGGUAAUAAUGGAGAGGACACUCGUAAAAAGUGCUAUGGUUAGGUCAUCAUGUUGCAGUUUUUAUAGUGGUGGGAUAAGGAAAAGAACCUGACUUCAUCCUGCUGAUCUAUUUCGGUUGGGCUAUUACCUAGUAGGACUUUUGUGAACUUCAUUGCACAGAACCAUCUGUCUAGGGUGCCUGUGGUUGUUUGAUGCCAGCCAUGAGUUUUGCAUUGUGAUUUCUGACCUCACUUCUCACUGUUCUUCAGUGUGAUUUUCAUUUCAUGUCACUCAGUUGAUGUCUCAAGUUUUUUUUUUCCUUCCUCUUCCUUUCUGUCUAUCAAAAGAGGUAUUUGAUUAUUAUUGCUGACCUAAUAUCUUCACUUUACUCAUGCUCCCUCUGGAAAACCUUUUUUUUCUCUCCCUCUCAUUAAUUCCUCACAUCCUCCAUGAUCCAACUCAGACCUUGCUCUUUAGGAAACCUUUUAAUGGAAUUAGGGCCUUAGUAACUCCCCUACCUAAGAUCUACCCUUUAACUAGUCACUUACAAACCAUAUUAUAUUUUCUAAUAUUUGCAUGUAUCCAUCUUGCUUUCUCAGCUAGGAGGGUGGAAAACGUAUCUAAUAUAUUUUCUGUGUAUUAAAUGUAUCUAAUAUAUUAUAUCUCAUGGGGCCAAACAUGGGGAUGACCCCAAACUAUCCUUGGUAUUUAUCACCUCCUGCUACAUUUAGCAGAUCACCUUCUUUGUCAUGACCAGUCACCAGAGAAGACCCAGCAUGCACCAGCACUCAGUUCUCCUAUCACAUGGUACUCUGCACCUAUGUUUAUGAGACCCUGACUAGCCUUGGGCCAGAGGGAAAUUCUAUAAUUUAUUUGGUUGCGUGCUAGAGGUCAUACCACAAGGCCACUGUCCACAUAUCAGCUUUGUCUCAGGAGCUGACUCGUGCUUUUCAUAUAAAUCAUAGUGAGUUGUCCAUUAUAAACACCUUGUAAAACUCAAAGGCUUUAUGGCUGUUAUUAGCUACUGCAUUAUGAUUUACUAGCUAAUUUAGGCUGAUGUGUGGAUGAGUGUAUCCAGGGCACCAUGUGUCCCAUCUCCAUACAGCAGAGAGUAGAAGAGACUAUGCCCUCAGAAACAAAUGCCUCUUCUAAAAGUCGGAGUGUGCUUAUGUUUUAUUUUUUAUUAUUUUUAUUAAACAUUUUUAUUGACAGAUAGUUGAUUUCUAAUAUAUUAUAGAGUUUCAGAGCUAUAACUUAGUGGUUAAAUACCUUUUAAAAGUUACUACAGGAAAAUAGCUCUAAUUCCCUGUGCUACAGAAUAUGUCCUUGUUGCUUACCUAUUUUAUACAUGGUAGUUUGUAUCUCUUAAUCCCACACCCCUAACUUGUUUCUACGCUAUUCCUGCUCCUCUUUGGUAACCACAAUUUGGUUUUCUAUAUUUCUGAAUAUGUUUCUGCUUUGCUAUAUAAGUUAAUUUUUUUUUUAGAUUCUACAUUAAGUGAUAUCAUAUGGUAUUUGUCUUUGUCUGUCUGAUUUAUUUCACUAAGCAUAAUAUUCUGUAGGCCAUACAUG